This 92-nucleotide transfer RNA is filed under the name Mustela putorius furo (domestic ferret). It matches the Rfam family "tRNA". Rfam says of the family: Transfer RNA (tRNA) molecules are approximately 80 nucleotides in length. Their secondary structure includes four short double-helical elements and three loops (D, anti-codon, and T loops). Lineage: Eukaryota; Metazoa; Chordata; Mammalia; Carnivora; Mustelidae. The record is from Rfam by way of RNAcentral.
ACCUGGGUGGCUCAGUUGGUUGAGCAUCUGGCUCUUGGUUUCUGCUCAGAUCAGGAUCUCAUGGGGCGUGGGAUAGAGCCCCAUCUCAGGUU